GAUGAACGCUGGCGGCGUGCCUAAUACAUGCAAGUAGAACACUGAAGGAGGAGCUUGCUCUUCUGGAUGAGUUGCGAACGGGUGAGUAACGCGUAGGUAACCUGCCUGGUAGCGGGGGAUAACUAUUGGAAACGAUAGCUAAUACCGCAUGACAACAGUUAUUGCAUGAUAACUGUUUAAAAGGGGCAACUGCUCCACUACCAGAUGGACCUGCGUUGUAUUAGCUAGUUGGUGAGGUAACGGCUCACCAAGGCGACGAUACAUAGCCGACCUGAGAGGGUGAUCGGCCACACUGGGACUGAGACACGGCCCAGACUCCUACGGGAGGCAGCAGUAGGGAAUCUUCGGCAAUGGACGGAAGUCUGACCGAGCAACGCCGCGUGAGUGAAGAAGGUUUUCGGAUCGUAAAGCUCUGUUGUAAGAGAAGAACGAGUGUGAGAGUGGAAAGUUCACACUGUGACGGUAUCUUACCAGAAAGGGACGGCUAACUACGUG
Molecule: ribosomal RNA, 495 nt
Filed under: uncultured bacterium
Lineage: Bacteria
Description: partial 16S ribosomal RNA
Rfam family: Bacterial small subunit ribosomal RNA
Source: RNAcentral